Molecule: unclassified non-coding RNA, 2255 nt
Filed under: Pomacea canaliculata
Lineage: Eukaryota; Metazoa; Mollusca; Gastropoda; Architaenioglossa; Ampullariidae
Description: fibroblast growth factor receptor 4-like, transcript variant X3
Source: RNAcentral
CGUCAGUCCUCAACGAGCCGUUGGCGAGUUCUCGACCAUUUCGCAAAAAUCCACUGCUUUGUGAACAGCCUGCUUAAACAGUGAACGCGUUGAAGCUGAUUUACUUUGACUGUUCAUUUUCGCAAGUAUUUACCGCGACGAGAUGUUAACUUUGAAGACCGUGCUGACACUGGCUUAAAAUCCGGGCCACCUCCUCACGUCCAAGAAGUUGGUGCGAAAGUUUCGCGAUAACAACGCUGGUGACCGCCCCGUUGGGAGGGCGCGUGCAACUGUUGACAGAAGGCCGAACGGAUGUGUGACAACAGUGUUCAUCAGUUUGUACAGCUCUCGGGUGGCCAACACCGCGGUACGAAGACAUAAACACCGAGCGUCUAUGCUUGAAACGACAUUGCUGGACUGGACGAAAUUUGCUGAAAAGUUGAUCUCAAAGGUCUUGUGACAACGUGCAGCGUGAGAAAAACUGAAUUCGUCAAGAUGCAGAUGAUGCUUGCUUGCAAAGUACUGUCUGUUCUGUUGGUGUAUCAGUAUGUGCUUGCUGAGUCAGGCCAAUUGUCCGACUUAAGAGGAAGAUACAGGAGAUGGUUAAAGGCAACACCAAAAAAUGCUGAAUCUAGACCGGACUUCACAUGGGCCAGCAGCAACAUGAAAAAAACUGUGAGUGUGUCAGAACACUCGACUAUAAUACUUCCAUGCGAUGUACACACUUCAAAUAAGGAUGCUGUCAAAGAGAUCAGCUGGUUCAAGGAUGGAAAAAGCAUUCCCAAGUUGCCACAAUUUAAAAUAAAGGACAUGGAACUAAGAAUCGAUUACUUGUCUGAGAGAGACAGUGGUAACUACACCUGUCAUGUUGUUGGACUAAAUACUCAACUUUCCUGGACUUACCAGGUUGUUGUUACCAAAGGAAAACCAUCACAUGUUCCUUUCAUCACAAAUGGUCCCAAAAACACAACAGUGAAGGUUGGGGAGAAAGCCCAUUUCAUAUGUGAAAGCCACAACAAGUCUGGAAGCAUUACAUAUCAGUGGAUACAGCAUCAUCUCAUCAACAAUUCCUACGAAAAUGAGACUGGAACUCCAUAUAUUUCCAUACUUAAGACAGAAAACUCUCCUAAGCAGCCAUCCGAGCUUUUCCUGGAAAAUGUGACAAAGAGUCAUGAAGGCUGGUAUACCUGCUCUGCCAGAAAUUCACUUGGCUACCAUCAUGAAAGUGCUUACCUCCAUGUGUUAGAUCAGGAUGACAUAUUGAAGUCUGGCGUACCUCGUGAAGGCAGUGCUCACCAAAACAGAUUUGGCAACAGCCCUUUCCUUUUGAUUAUAGGUCUUAUUGCAGGUGCUUUGGUUCUGAUCAUUGUUGUGACUGUGGCAGUGGUCAUCUUCAGGUACAAACACAAGCAGCAGGCCAUCAAGUAUCAAGUCUCCCACACAAAGGAGCCUGUUGUUUCUCGGCCAUUGAUGCCAAAGCCUCGCCGCGGCUGUACAGCUUAUCCUCCACCACCUCCUCCUGUUUAUGUGCCCUUUGACGCAGAAUGGGAGUUCCCUCGGAAUAGGCUUACUUUCCUGGGUACAGUUGGAGAAGGUGCAUUUGGUGUAGUGAAGCAGGCUACAGCUUACGGCAUUGGUAAAGUACCAAAAGCCAGCACUGUAGCAGUGAAAAUGCUCAAAGACAGUGCAUCCCGAACUGAGCAGAUGGACUUUAUCCAAGAGCUUGAGGUGAUGAAACAGGUCAAAAAGAUGGGCAGCCAUAUCAACAUUGUAAAUUUCUUGGGCUGCAGUACACGCAAUGGCCCAUUGUUGCUGAUCGUGGAAUAUGCUAAAAAUGGCAACUUGCGAGACUUUCUAGAAACCUGCAGGGAUGGCAUCAAUGGCUAUGGCAGAUAUGUUUCUCCUGAUGAUCCUGCUUGGUUCACAAAGACGCCUGGGGGUCAAGUGAUCAGUCGCAAGAAUCUCAUAUCGUUUGCCUUCCAGGUGUCUCGUGGCAUGGAAUUUUUGUCAUCAAAAAAAGUGUAUCCAUCGGGAUCUGGCGGCUCGCAAUAUUUUGGUUACCGAGGACUUUAUUUUGAAAAUUGCUGACUUUGGACUUACCAGAAAUGGUGAAUACUACAAGAAAAGAUCAAGUGGCCGAUUGCCUGUAAAAUGGAUGGCUCCAGAAGCAUUGUUUGAUAUGCGAUUCACCAUGAAGAGUGAUGUGUGGUCCUUUGGAGUGUUGCUUUGGGAGAUCUUCUCCUUGGGUGGUAUGCCAUACCCAACUAUCCCACAUG